GACGUAGGGCGCGAGCGUUGUCCGGAUUUAUUGGGCGUAAAGAGCUCGUAGGCGGCUUGUCGCGUCGAAUGUGAAAACUCGGGGCUCAACUCCGAGCUUGCAUUCGAUACGGGCAGGCUAGAGUUCGGUAGGGGAGACUGGAAUUCCUGGUGUAGCGGUGAAAUGCGCAGAUAUCAGGAAGAACACCCGUGGCUAAGGCGGCUCUCUAGUAACGGUACUGACGCUGAGACGCGAAAGCGUGGGGAGCGAACAGG
This 254-nucleotide ribosomal RNA is filed under the name uncultured bacterium. RNAcentral's name for it is "partial 16S ribosomal RNA". It matches the Rfam family "Bacterial small subunit ribosomal RNA", at positions 524 to 776 of the family's 1533-position model. The record is from RNAcentral.